This 389-nucleotide ribosomal RNA is filed under the name uncultured bacterium. RNAcentral describes it as "bacterial SSU rRNA". It matches the Rfam family "Bacterial small subunit ribosomal RNA", at positions 28 to 414 of the family's 1533-position model. The record is from RNAcentral.
GACGAACGCUGGCGGCGUGCUUAACACAUGCAAGUCGAACGGAUCAGCGGAGCUUGCUCUGCUGGUUAGUGGCGAACGGGUGAGUAACACGUGAGCAAUCUGCCCCUGACUCUGGGAUAACUGCGGGAAACUGUAGCUAAUACCGGAUACGACAACCGACGCAUCGUCUGGUUGUAGGAAAGUAAUUUUGGUCAGGGAUGAGCUCGCGGCCUAUCAGCUUGUUGGUGAGGUAAUGGCUCACCAAGGCGACGACGGUAGCCGGCCUGAGAGGGUGACCGGCCACACUGGGACUGAGACACGGCCCAGACUCCUACGGGAGGCAGCAGGUGGGGAAUAUUGCACAAGUGGGCGGAAGCCUGAUGCAGCAACGCCGCGUGGAGGGACGACGG